UAAAUAAUAGUUUCAUUUGUUAAUUGCAACAAAUUCAGAUUUCCAGCAAUAUAUUAUUGUCAUAUAUAUGUAUUGUUUGUCCAUAUAAAUAGGGAAGCGAAUCAAUCGGCAGAUGCACUAGCAAAAGAAGGACUGUCUAUGGAAUGCGGAAGGGUAAGCUUGUUAUUUCCCAAAAGACAAUUGUGAUUGCAGAUUGUGAUUUAAUCUACUUUAGAUUGAAGUAUAACUGAGAUGUUUACAAUUUUCAUCUGGUUUUGGCAUAGUAACUCUGUUAUAGGCCCUUGGCAUAUUACCAUAUUGAUGAAGUGUUGAAUGAAUGCUGGAGAGGUGUCUCUGAUACUGUGUUGGCUGCCAUCCUGUCUCUGAGGUGUCUCUUGAAUUAUAUGUUUUGGUAUUAUUAAUUUCAUCUGUUUAAAUUAGUAUUUUAACCUUAUAAUUAUGAUCAAUAAGUGCUAGGCUUAUGAAAUUCAUUGCUAAUUGUAUAACUAUGGGCAUGUUAGGAUUGACUUACUUCAUUUUAUCUACUCACAUAAGUCCCACGAUAGGUGUUUAUUGUGCUGAGCUCACUAGUUAGUGGGAUAAGGCUUUGGUUGUUGUUUGUUGUAGAAAUAGCUUAUAUAUAAACGAUUUUCAUAAUAAUAAGCGCUUAUGCUAAGCUGCUAAUAUGACAGGGUCUAGGUCAACAAGUCUUUAUUUUAUUUGAUUUUUGGUGCUAACCAUCCGGUUCUCUGGGGAAAUGAGUCCUGGUAAUCAGAGUUCGGCCAGGAGGUAAGUAAAGUCGGACCAAUAAUUUUUCCACUCAGGAAUCAGACUCAGGUUCUCAUGAACAAUUCUUUCUUGAUGGAGUUCAUUAACCACUUCAGCUCAAUUGCUUGGUUAGGUCAAUGAGUCUUUAGCUUAUCUAGUUCACACAUGAGUUAUACAUGCACUCCUUUUUCUAAUAUCACAUUAUCUGAUAUAGGAAUAUGUUAAGCCUUAUAAAACCAAAGCCCUACAUCAGCAUAUAUCAAAUGAAAUAGGCAUAUCUAGAUAUAACCGUGAUACAUUUUUCACUAGUUUAUUAUAGGGUUAAUAGUGUUUUUCACUCCUGUAAUAUAUGUCAUUUCCGGUUUUCACCCCUAUAAAAUUUUCGGUUUGAUUUGCACCCUCGUAAAAAUUUUAUUUUCCGGAAAACACCCAUAAUAGGCCAUUUUCAGAAAUUUUUUUCAAGAAAUUUUUUAAAAUUUUGGUUUUGUUGCACUGCAUGCUUUGUUAUUGGCCCAUAACUGAUGCUUUAGGGGUAUACAUAUGUGUUUUUUUUUUGUUUUGUUUUGUUUCUCAUUGAUUGAAAAUAGGCUCAUUCCACCAUUUCCAGAAUACAUUCAAUUAUGAAAUGGGAAUUGAUAAAGUUUUAAUAAAUGAUUUAACAUGGUGCUUGCCUAACUCAAUUUUCAAUACUUCGUUUAAUUAUCUACCCAACCUUUUAUGUAUUUCAUUUGAGGUUGUUAGAUAUAGUGACAAAGGUUUAGAGUACACAUUUUCUGUUUCAUGUUGAGAAAAGAACAGCAUUUAGUUUCAUGGUGGAUAUUCAGCUUCUUCUGUCUUCAACUGUGAGUCAAGUUCUUCAAGUUGAAAAUGUUACGGAGAAUCUUAGAGGUUUCAUGGAUCCUAAUUUGAGGGAUAAAUACCCUUUGGAUCUUACUUAUUCUAUGGAUGAGAUUGCCAAAAGAUGUGUUGAUCAUGACCUCAAUUCAAGGACAAAUGUUUCUGGGGGUUUUCAUGGUUAUGUCCACGAUUCAAUCCUCAAUAUUGUAUUUGAGAUCCAUCUGACGAGCUUGAACGGUCCAUAUCUGUUACCCAAGUUUCUGAUAGCAGAUAGUUAAUGAUUUUUAAUGUCAUGCCUCAAUUGAAUAAGAGUUUUGACAGCUUAUUUAAUCUUUUUAUAUGAAGAGUUUUAUGUUGCCAUAUUUUGUAUCGCAUAUAUAACAUGCAUUGAUUCUUUCUUUCUUAGAAAGGGAAAAUGUUAGUAACUUAGUAUUGUUAGUUUGAGGAUGCAGAUCGAUCCCUUGAUCUCCGUAUCACUCCACUCGUUAACUCCCCACCCCAUCACCAUGCCAACAUUAUGUUCCUUAGAAAUCCACACUGUGAGCUUGUAAAUUAUUGUAUUCCUUAAAAUGGAUACUUCAAUUUGUUAUUCUUUAUAACGUAGUAAAGUCAGAUUUCCAGUAAUCUGUUAUGGCGAAUUGAAAAAUGGUGUGGUUUAGAGAGUUUAGAUAGCACCUAUAGUAGAAAAGAUGGUAGAAACUAGACUUGGGUCAUUUGGGCAUGUAGAGAGAAGAAAUGUGGAUUCUGUAGUUAGGAAGGGGAGACCUUGAAACUAUUAGGAAGGAUCUAGAGAUAAAUGAGUUGGAGAAAGACAUGGUUUUUGAUAGAGCACUAUGAAGUCGUUUGAUUCAUGUAGCCGACCCCAGCUUAGUGGGAUAAGACUAGGUCGUUGUUGUUGAAUUAAAAAAUGGUUUGGAUAGGCCAAGGUCAGGUGUCAUGGUUUCAACUUCCAAUUAAAUAGUAUAUUAUUAUAAAUCUUUGUUAAGAAUUGAGGUACCCAUCAUUAAUUAAUCAUUAAUACAAAGUAAAAUACAAUGCCUUGAGAGUGAUGCACAUAAUAUUCAUGUAGAAAUGUAGAAACGAAGUAUAUAUGUAGUAUUACUACUAUUGUAUAAAUUUAAGCUGGUUUUAUUUAAUUUAAUGCAGAAUCCCCACCUAGUUAUGAUACAUAAUCAAAUAUAUGUGUAGCUAUUGCAGAGGAUCCAAUUUACUCCGUGAGCCAUGCUAGAAAAAGAAAGGGAAAGUAGGAAAUGUAUCGCAAGGAUUUUCUAGUUGAUGAUGAGGGGAGAAAAAGGAUGAUGUACAACAAAAUACAACCACAACAAAAAUCGGAGUUACAAGCAAACAGUAAUUCACACUUAUUAAGAAAACUAACACUUAAUGAUUUGAGGUAUAAUUUUUUGUAUUCUUCUUGGAAUAAGUUUCGUGGAAAGAUGUAAAAAUAAUUCUCAUUGGUUAAAAAUUAUGGAGAAAAUAAAAAGGACAACAAAUUGAAUGCAAUUUGCAUUUAAUUUUACAUUGGAAAAGAUUAUUUGUUUGAAAAAAUAUAAUAAUAGCAAAAAAAUUAGUCUUUUUUGCUUAUAUUUUAAGACAAAGAAUAUGAAAUUUUUUUGCUUAUAUUUUAGGACGGAGGGAGUAGAUACCAGUCAUGAAUGCCAAAUAUAGUGAGAUGAG
This 3258-nucleotide long non-coding RNA is filed under the name Medicago truncatula (barrel medic). RNAcentral describes it as "long non-coding RNA (MTRU_LNC003609)". The record is from RNAcentral. Lineage: Eukaryota; Viridiplantae; Streptophyta; Magnoliopsida; Fabales; Fabaceae.